Molecule: ribosomal RNA, 2989 nt
Filed under: Salmonella enterica subsp. enterica serovar Typhimurium
Lineage: Bacteria; Pseudomonadati; Pseudomonadota; Gammaproteobacteria; Enterobacterales; Enterobacteriaceae
Description: bacterial LSU rRNA
Rfam family: Bacterial large subunit ribosomal RNA
Source: RNAcentral
UUAAGCGACUAAGCGUACACGGUGGAUGCCCUGGCAGUCAGAGGCGAUGAAGGGCGUGCUAAUCUGCGAUAAGCGCCGGUAAGGUGAUAUGAACCGUUAUAACCGGCGAUACCCGAAUGGGGAAACCCAGUGUGAUUCGUCACACUAUCAUUAACUGAAUCCAUAGGUUAAUGAGGCGAACCGGGGGAACUGAAACAUCUAAGUACCCCGAGGAAAAGAAAUCAACCGAGAUUCCCCCAGUAGCGGCGAGCGAACGGGGAGGAGCCCAGAGCCUGAAUCAGCAUGUGUGUUAGUGGAAGCGUCUGGAAAGGUGCGCGAUACAGGGUGACAGCCCCGUACACAAAAGCGCAUGUGCUGUGAGCUCGAUGAGUAGGGCGGGACACGUGGUAUCCUGUCUGAAUAUGGGGGGACCAUCCUCCAAGGCUAAAUACUCCUGACUGACCGAUAGUGAACCAGUACCGUGAGGGAAAGGCGAAAAGAACCCCGGCGAGGGGAGUGAAAAAGAACCUGAAACCGUGUACGUACAAGCAGUGGGAGCACAGGUUUACCUGUGUGACUGCGUACCUUUUGUAUAAUGGGUCAGCGACUUAUAUUCUGUAGCAAGGUUAACCGUAUAGGGGAGCCGUAGGGAAACCGAGUCUUAACCGGGCGUUAAGUUGCAGGGUAUAGACCCGAAACCCGGUGAUCUAGCCAUGGGCAGGUUGAAGGUUGGGUAACACUAACUGGAGGACCGAACCGACUAAUGUUGAAAAAUUAGCGGAUGACCUGUGGCUGGGGGUGAAAGGCCAAUCAAACCGGGAGAUAGCUGGUUCUCCCCGAAAGCUAUUUAGGUAGCGCCUCGUGAAUUCAUCUCCGGGGGUAGAGCACUGUUUCGGCUAGGGGGCCAUCCCGGCUUACCAACCCGAUGCAAACUGCGAAUACCGGAGAAUGUUAUCACGGGAGACACACGGCGGGUGCUAACGUCCGUCGUGAAGAGGGAAACAACCCAGACCGCCAGCUAAGGUCCCAAAGUCAUGGUUAAGUGGGAAACGAUGUGGGAAGGCCCAGACAGCCAGGAUGUUGGCUUAGAAGCAGCCAUCAUUUAAAGAAAGCGUAAUAGCUCACUGGUCGAGUCGGCCUGCGCGGAAGAUGUAACGGGGCUAAACCAUGCACCGAAGCUGCGGCAGCGAACGUAUCACCCAAGACAACUUUACGGAGUUGACGAUUGACGGAGCGAAGCGACGUCAAAGCGUUCAUUAAAGUCGAGUUGGCUUAGGGAUACGUUCGUUGGGUAGGGGAGCGUUCUGUAAGCCUGUGAAGGUGUGUCGUGAGGCAUGCUGGAGGUAUCAGAAGUGCGAAUGCUGACAUAAGUAACGAUAAAGCGGGUGAAAAGCCCGCUCGCCGGAAGACCAAGGGUUCCUGUCCAACGUUAAUCGGGGCAGGGUGAGUCGACCCCUAAGGCGAGGCCGAAAGGCGUAGUCGAUGGGAAACGGGUUAAUAUUCCCGUACUUGGUGUUACUGCGAAGGGGGGACGGAGAAGGCUAUGUUGGCCGGGCGACGGUUGUCCCGGUUUAAGCGUGUAGGUGUGUGUUCCAGGUAAAUCCGGUUCACUUUAACACUGAGGCGUGACGACGAGGCACUACGGUGCUGAAGCAACAAAUGCCCUGCUUCCAGGAAAAGCCUCUAAGCAUCAGGUAACACGAAAUCGUACCCCAAACCGACACAGGUGGUCAGGUAGAGAAUACCAAGGCGCUUGAGAGAACUCGGGUGAAGGAACUAGGCAAAAUGGUGCCGUAACUUCGGGAGAAGGCACGCUGACACGUAGGUGAAGUGAUUUACUCAUGGAGCUGAAGUCAGUCGAAGAUACCAGCUGGCUGCAACUGUUUAUUAAAAACACAGCACUGUGCAAACACGAAAGUGGACGUAUACGGUGUGACGCCUGCCCGGUGCCGGAAGGUUAAUUGAUGGGGUCAGCGCAAGCGAAGCUCCUGAUCGAAGCCCCGGUAAACGGCGGCCGUAACUAUAACGGUCCUAAGGUAGCGAAAUUCCUUGUCGGGUAAGUUCCGACCUGCACGAAUGGCGUAAUGAUGGCCAGGCUGUCUCCACCCGAGACUCAGUGAAAUUGAACUCGCUGUGAAGAUGCAGUGUACCCGCGGCAAGACGGAAAGACCCCGUGAACCUUUACUAUAGCUUGACACUGAACAUUGAGCCUUGAUGUGUAGGAUAGGUGGGAGGCUUUGAAGUGUGGACGCCAGUCUGCAUGGAGCCGACCUUGAAAUACCACCCUUUAAUGUUUGAUGUUCUAACGUGGACCCGUAAUCCGGGUUGCGGACAGUGUCUGGUGGGUAGUUUGACUGGGGCGGUCUCCUCCUAAAGAGUAACGGAGGAGCACGAAGGUUGGCUAAUCCUGGUCGGACAUCAGGAGGUUAGUGCAAUGGCAUAAGCCAGCUUGACUGCGAGCGUGACGGCGCGAGCAGGUGCGAAAGCAGGUCAUAGUGAUCCGGUGGUUCUGAAUGGAAGGGCCAUCGCUCAACGGAUAAAAGGUACUCCGGGGAUAACAGGCUGAUACCGCCCAAGAGUUCAUAUCGACGGCGGUGUUUGGCACCUCGAUGUCGGCUCAUCACAUCCUGGGGCUGAAGUAGGUCCCAAGGGUAUGGCUGUUCGCCAUUUAAAGUGGUACGCGAGCUGGGUUUAGAACGUCGUGAGACAGUUCGGUCCCUAUCUGCCGUGGGCGCUGGAGAACUGAGGGGGGCUGCUCCUAGUACGAGAGGACCGGAGUGGACGCAUCACUGGUGUUCGGGUUGUCAUGCCAAUGGCACUGCCCGGUAGCUAAAUGCGGAAGAGAUAAGUGCUGAAAGCAUCUAAGCACGAAACUUGCCCCGAGAUGAGUUCUCCCUGAGACUUAGAGUCUCCUGAAGGAACGUUGAAGACGACGACGUUGAUAGGCCGGGUGUGUAAGCGCAGCGAUGCGUUGAGCUAACCGGUACUAAUGAACCGUGAGGCUUAACCU